GCUCAGGAUGAACGCUAGCUACAGGCUUAACACAUGCAAGUCGAGGGGCAGCAUAAAUCUAGCAAUAGAUUUGAUGGCGACCGGCGCACGGGUGAGUAACACGUAUCCAACCUACCUAUUACUCGGGUAUAGCCUUUCGAAAGAAAGAUUAAUCCCCGAUACGAUAUUGAGUUCGCAUGAAUUUGAUAUGAAAGAUUUAUUGGUAUUAGAUGGGGAUGCGUUCCAUUAGAUAGUUGGUGAGGUAACGGCUCACCAAGUCUUCGAUGGAUAGGGGUUCUGAGAGGAAGGUCCCCCACACUGGAACUGAGACACGGUCCAGACUCCUACGGGAGGCAGCAGUGAGGAAUAUUGGUCAAUGGGCGAGAGCCUGAACCAG
Molecule: ribosomal RNA, 376 nt
Filed under: uncultured Bacteroidales bacterium
Lineage: Bacteria; Pseudomonadati; Bacteroidota; Bacteroidia; Bacteroidales
Description: bacterial SSU rRNA
Rfam family: Bacterial small subunit ribosomal RNA
Source: RNAcentral